RNAcentral lists this ribosomal RNA (253 nucleotides) under uncultured bacterium. RNAcentral describes it as "partial 16S ribosomal RNA". It matches the Rfam family "Bacterial small subunit ribosomal RNA", at positions 524 to 776 of the family's 1533-position model. The record is from RNAcentral.
UACGGAGGGUGCAAGCGUUAUCCGGAUUCACUGGGUUUAAAGGGUGCGUAGGCGGGCAGGUAAGUCAGUGGUGGAAUCUUCGAGCUUAACUCGGAAACUGCCAUUGAUACUAUUUGUCUUGAAUAUGGUGGAGGUGAGCGGAAUAUGUCAUGUAGCGGUGAAACGCUUAGAUAUGACAUAGAACACCAAUUGCGUAGGCAGCUCACUAUACCUAUAUUGACGCUGAGGCACGAAAGCGUGGGGAUCAAACAGG